RNAcentral lists this ribosomal RNA (410 nucleotides) under uncultured bacterium. RNAcentral's name for it is "bacterial SSU rRNA". It matches the Rfam family "Bacterial small subunit ribosomal RNA", at positions 8 to 422 of the family's 1533-position model. The record is from RNAcentral.
AGAGUUUGAUCCUGGCUCAGAUUGAACGCUGGCGGCAUGCUUUACACAUGCAAGUCGAACGGUAACAGGCCGCAAGGUGCUGACGAGUGGCGAACGGGUGAGUAAUGUAUCGGAACGUGCCCAGUCGUGGGGGAUAACGCAGCGAAAGCUGCGCUAAUACCGCAUACGAUCUAUGGAUGAAAGCGGGGGACCGUAAGGCCUCGCGCGAUUGGAGCGGCCGAUAUCAGAUUAGGUAGUUGGUGGGGUAAAGGCUCACCAAGCCAACGAUCUGUAGCUGGUCUGAGAGGACGACCAGCCACACUGGGACUGAGACACGGCCCAGACUCCUACGGGAGGCAGCAGUGGGGAAUUUUGGACAAUGGGCGCAAGCCUGAUCCAGCAAUGCCGCGUGCAGGAAGAAGGCCUUCGGG